This 2217-nucleotide ribosomal RNA is filed under the name Klebsiella pneumoniae. RNAcentral describes it as "partial 23S ribosomal RNA". It matches the Rfam family "Bacterial large subunit ribosomal RNA", at positions 87 to 2350 of the family's 2925-position model. The record is from RNAcentral. Lineage: Bacteria; Pseudomonadati; Pseudomonadota; Gammaproteobacteria; Enterobacterales; Enterobacteriaceae.
GAUAUGAACCGUUAUAACCGGCGAUGUCCGAAUGGGGAAACCCAGUGCACCUGUUGCACUAUCGUUAACCUGAAUACAUAGGUUAACGAGGCGAACCGGGGGAACUGAAACAUCUAAGUACCCCGAGGAAAAAGAAAUCAACGAGAUUCCCAGUAGCGGCGAGCGAACGGGGAGCAGCCCAGAGUCUGAAUCAGCUUGUGUGUUAGUGGAACGGUCUGGAAAGUCCGACGGUACAGGGUGAUAGUCCCGUACACCAAAAUGCACAGGUUGUGAACUCGAAGAGUAGGGCGGGACACGUGGUAUCCUGUCUGAAUAUGGGGGACCAUCCUCCAAGGCUAAAUACUCCUGACUGACCGAUAGUGAACCAGUACCGUGAGGGAAAGGCGAAAAGAACCCCGGCGAGGGGAGUGAAAAGAACCUGAAACCGUGUACGUACAAGCAGUGGAGCACCUUCGGGUGUGACUGCGUACCUUUGUAUAAUGGGUCAGCGACUUAUAUUCUGUAGCAAGGUUAACCGUAUAGGGAGCCGCAGGGAAACCGAGUCUUAACUGGGCGUUAAGUUGCAGGGUAUAGACCCGAAACCCGGUGAUUCAGCCAUGGGCAGGUUGAAGGUUGGGUAACACUAACUGGAGGACCGAACCGACUAAUGUUGAAAAAUUAGCGGAUGACUUGUGGCUGGGGUGAAAGGCCAAUCAAACCGGGAGAUAGCUGGUUCUCCCGAAAGCUAUUUAGGUAGCGCCUCGUGAACUCAUCUUCGGGGUAGAGCACUGUUUCGGCUAGGGGGUCAUCCCGACUUACCAACCCGAUGCAAACUACGAAUACCGAAGAAUGUUAUCACGGGAGACACACGGCGGGUGCUAACGUCCGUCGUGAAGAGGGAAACAACCCAGACCGCCAGCUAAGGUCCCAAAGUCAUGGUUAUGGGAAACGAUGUGGAAGGCACAGACAGCCGUGAUGUUGGCUUAGAAGCAGCCAUCAUUUAAAGAAAGCGUAAUAGCUCACUGGUCGAGUCGGCCUGCGCGGAAGAUGUAACGGGCUAAACCAUGCACCGAAGCUGCGGCAGCGACACUAUGUGUUGUUGGGUAGGGGGAGCGUUCUGUAAGCCUGCGAAGGUGUGCUGUGAGGCAUGCUGGAGGUAUCAGAAGUGCGAAUGCUGACAUAAGUAACGAUAAAGCGGGUGAAAAGCCCGCUCGCCGGAAGACCAAGGGUUCCUGUCCAACGUUAAUCGGGGCAGGGUGAGUCGACCCCUAAGGCGAGGCCGAAAGGCGUAGUCGAUGGGAAACAGGUUAAUAUUCCUGUACUUGGUGUUACUGCGAAGGGGGACGGAGAAGGCUAUGUUAGCCGGGCGACGGUUGUCCCGGUUUAAGCAUGUAGGCUGGUUAUCCAGCAAAUCCGGAUAAUCAAGGCUGAGGUGUGAUGACGAGGCACUACGGUGCUGAAGUAACAAAUGCCCUGCUUCCGUGAAAGCCUCUAAGCAUCAGGUAACAUCAAAUCGUACCCCAAACCGACACAGGUGGUCAGGUAGAGAAUACCAAGGCGCUUGAGAGAACUCGGGUGAAGGAACUAGGCAAAAUGGUGCCGUAACUUCGGGAGAAGGCACGCUGGUGUGUAGGUGAAGUCCCUGCGGAUGGAGCUGAGACCAGUCGAAGAUACCAGCUGGCUGCAACUGUUUAUUAAAAACACAGCACUGUGCAAACACGAAAGUGGACGUAUACGGUGUGACGCCUGCCCGGUGCCGGAAGGUUAAUUGAUGGGGUUAUCCGUAAGGAGAAGCUCUUGAUCGAAGCCCCGGUAAACGGCGGCCGUAACUAUAACGGUCCUAAGGUAGCGAAAUUCCUUGUCGGGUAAGUUCCGACCUGCACGAAUGGCGUAAUGAUGGCCGUGCUGUUCCACCCGAGACUCAGUGAAAUUGAACUCGCUGUGAAGAUGCAGUGUACCCGCGGCAAGACGGAAAGACCCCGUGAACCUUACUAUAGCUUGACACUGAACAUUGAGCCUUGAUGUGUAGGAUAGGUGGGAGGCUUUGAAGCGUGGACGCCAGUCUGCGUGGAGCCAACCUUGAAAUACCACCCUUAAUGUUUGAUGUUCUAACGUUGGCCCCUUACCGGGUUGCGGACAGUGUCUGGUGGGUAGUUUGACUGGGGCGGUCUCCCUCCCAAAGCGUAACGGAGGAGCACGAAGGUUAGCUAAUCCCCGGUCGGACAUCAGGAGGUUAGC